GCAUGACUCUCGGUAACAGAUAUCUCGGCCCUUACCAUGAUGAAGAACGUAGCGAAAUGCGAUACUUAGUGUGAAUUGCAGAAUCCCGUGAAUUAUCGAGUCUUUGAAUGCAAGUUGCGCCCGAGGCCUUGACCGAGGGCACGUCUGCCUGGGCAUCGCAU
Molecule: ribosomal RNA, 161 nt
Filed under: Bowenia serrulata
Lineage: Eukaryota; Viridiplantae; Streptophyta; Cycadopsida; Cycadales; Cycadaceae
Description: 5.8S rRNA
Rfam family: 5.8S ribosomal RNA
About the family: 5.8S ribosomal RNA (5.8S rRNA) is a component of the large subunit of the eukaryotic ribosome. It is transcribed by RNA polymerase I as part of the 45S precursor that also contains 18S and 28S rRNA.
Source: RNAcentral